GCGUUCUUGGAUUAGAGGAAUUGAUGAUUGAUUAAUGGAUAAAAGUAUUUCAGCCAAAUUGUCUGCGUUUUUUACCGUUGCCGCCUGCUGCAGUAUAUGCUUGGAAACGUUUCGCCAGCUGUACUUGUUUAAACCGACUGUAAGCACACCUAAAGGAAUAUGCAUUGGCUCUAAAAGUACAUAGCCUCUAGGUUGGCCGCUAGCUUUAUCGAUAGGAAACAUACUCUCGUACAUGAGCUUCAAAUCCACCCAGUAGCAAGGAUAUUUAAAUCGAGCAACGUCCAAUAUUAAUAUCUUGUUAUCACUUUCACUGAAGCCUCCAACUGGACUAAAAUGUCCAUCGCCUGUUUGACCGAGCACUUUCCGGCAAAAUGAAAUUGCCAUAAUUUUAUUCUCAAUGGUAGAACAAGAGAUUACGUCUUUCCGAAAUUCAUCAAAGCUAACAUCUUUGACACAUUUCGUAAUAGUCCGAAGGCCAUUGCAGUUAGCUAAACAAGAGAACUCUUCUAGCGUAACACCAUCUUUUUCAAUAUCGCUUAGCGAUCGACAACAAUCAAGCAUAUACUGAUCAUACCAGCGCCAAGAUCCCUUCCAUAAUCUACCCGGGUCAACUUUAAGCGAAUUAAGAAUCAUGCAGAGAGUUCCCAAUCCACAAAAAGCUGGUUCGUUUUGGGUUACCAUCUGCUGUGCAAGCGAAAAAUAAUUUUCCAUCCGUCCCUCUUGCAAUGCUCGUAAAAAAACAUCUUUACCGAGAGAUGAAUCAAAAGCUAAACAUUGUUUAGGC
Molecule: non-coding RNA, 784 nt
Organism: Schizosaccharomyces pombe (fission yeast)
Lineage: Eukaryota; Fungi; Ascomycota; Schizosaccharomycetes; Schizosaccharomycetales; Schizosaccharomycetaceae
Source: the annotation of a GenBank genome assembly